Cyprinus carpio carpio is the source of this 1387-nucleotide long non-coding RNA. The record is from Ensembl. Lineage: Eukaryota; Metazoa; Chordata; Actinopteri; Cypriniformes; Cyprinidae.
UGAAUAUAUAAAUCUAUAUCUUUUCUUUGAGGCUUACAGAACCUGUACUGUUGUAAUAAUAUGCAUGGGCUCUUCUCUGAGAGUGAUGGUUUUAUUUUGCGUGUCAAGCCUAGAAGGACGUUUUCGAUGAAGUUUUAAUCUAUGUUCUUUUUAGUCUUUUCUUUCCUCUUUUAUUUAUCUGAUUAUUUAUGCCUGCAUAUAGAUCUGUCUAUUCCAUUAUCUCUCUCACGUAUUUCAGUACCAGCAGUAUAGAUGCCUUAACAAUGCAAACCCAUAAGCGUACAAUCCCUUGUACAGACUUUACAACCACCACUACCAGUAACAGUAGCCACAGAGUUCCUUAAGGGGUUUCUUUCCAGAAAAAAAGCACAAAUCGGUCUGUUUUACUUAAAGCGAGGAGGGUUAAAUGAAUUAUUUGUCCUUUUUCUGUUGUUUGUAUAAUGAAGGAAAAUGAGAGGGAACCUGAAGGAUUAUAAAGAGAGACUAUAUGAUUUAUAUUUUAUGUAAUGCUAGUGCAAUUGGUUGCACUUUCUCAUUAAUUUAAAGCAAAAGGCUGCCUUUUUUCAGUCGUUUGUCUGCUGCGUUCACAACCGGGAGAGAAGCUCAAAGCCAUAUUCUACAGUGUCACCGUUCGCUCUGAAGUGCAUGCGAACCUGCAUGUUUUGGGUCGUGCCACAGCACUUUGUAAGGUACCACUGAUGAAUUUCUCACCCAGAGCAAAGUGACUCGAUAUCAGAGCACAAUGCCUUGCCCCUGGAGCUGAGGUUCUGACUCCCAGUCUGUAACUCUGUCUAAUUCUACUGUCAGCCGAAUCAGCCCUCGAUGAUCGGUCUUCAGGGCUCUUUCAUGAAUGGUUGAAGUGCUGUCUCCUGUAAUGUGUGUUUGAAAUCUGCCAUCUAACAGAAAAAUGGCUUUUAAUAUGCUAAUGUGUGAGGACUUUUUAUCAGAAAUGACUGACCAUUCACGAUGUUUUUCUUUUCCAUAUGUUGCUGUUAUGCGAUGGUUACUUUGUUAGUGGCUCCAUCGCAAUGAAUAAGAUGGACUUCUUAUAAAAUGACAAGCAUUUGAUAGGACAAAAGACUCAAACCUUUUUGACUCAAACCUGGUCUCCUUUUUUUCCUGCCUACUAUUCUUGUGUUUGUUUGUUUCUGGGUUUUUAUUUUUUAUGUUUUUUGGACUAGAUACACACUGAACCAUUCUAUUGAUAGGAAAACUCAAGACAAAACUACUGUAUAGAUUGUUUUCAUUUUUGAUGAAAGCUGUAAAAUAACUUUUCAAAGUUCACAAUAUUAAAUUAAAGUUACUUCUUGUCUGUGAUUUUUUUUUUUUAUUAUUCUUGGACUGUCUUUUGUCUUUCUUGAGCCUUUCUUCCAGGAGCAGGUGUUUG